GUGGGCCNCCCUCUUUGNGAAGAGGGCCUGCGUUUUCACAUAAAACUUGAUACAGUGUAGAAUGUCUUUUCAUUUUNAUUUUGCGGUUAUACGCAAUUAAUACAACUUUCAACAACGGAUCUCUUGGCUCUCGCAUCGAUGAAGAACGCAGCGAAAUGCGAUACGUAAUGUGAAUUGCAGAAUUCAGUGAAUCAUCNAAUCUUUGAACGCACCUUGCGCCCCUUGGCAUUCCGAGGGGCACACCCGUUUGAGUGUCGUGAAAAUCUCAAAACCCUUUUCUUUGACCCUUUUAUUUAUUUAUUUGGUUGGGAAGAGGAUUUUGGACUUGGAGGUUUAAUGCUNGCUUUGAAAAGUGAGCUCCUCUCAAAUGAAUUAGUGGGGUCUGCUUUGCUGGUCCUUGACGUGAUAAGAUGNUUNGACGUUUUGGAUUUGGCACUGUCGCUUGGAUGCCUGCUCCCAACUGUCCAUCUCAUGGACAACGAUGGUGCUCUGGUCUCCUCCAAUCCCACAUUGGCGGGAGGCUGGACCCACAAAAAAACUUGACCUCAAAUCGGGUGAGACUACCCGCUGAACUUAANCAUAUCAAUAAGCGGAGGAAAAGAAACUAACAAGGA
Molecule: ribosomal RNA, 614 nt
Filed under: uncultured fungus
Lineage: Eukaryota; Fungi
Description: eukaryotic LSU rRNA
Rfam family: 5.8S ribosomal RNA (bases 104-257)
Source: RNAcentral